AUUUGUUUGUGUGUGAAAAAUGCAAAGAACUAAUUUGAACCCCAAUUUUGGCCAGUGUUUGUGACUAAGUGGCUACUAAUAAAGACUGGACAUACCCCAUUUGCAAUACCUUGGGUUGUCUACUAUUGCAAAUGGUAUGCCAUCAUGGGGGUAAUUUUCAUUCCUGGGCUACCAUACGGUCUCAAAGGCAACAUAACCAACCUAGC
Non-coding RNA from Pelobates cultripes (western spadefoot toad), 206 nucleotides. The record is from the annotation of a GenBank genome assembly. NCBI's taxonomy places the organism in Eukaryota, Metazoa, Chordata, Amphibia, Anura, Pelobatidae.